AAAGACUGUAAUUUUGUACUGUUUAUGUCCAACGUUUAACCGUCCAUAUUAUUUGAAAAAUAAUAUGAUUAGUAUUUUUAUUGUUAUUAGAUGAUAAAACAUGAAUAAUACUUCAUGUGAGACUAUUUUUAAAAAAAUUUUCAUAAAUUUUUAAAAUAAGAAAGACGAUCAAACGUUGGACACGGAAACCCGCAGUUGUACUUAAA
Non-coding RNA from Oryza glumipatula, 206 nucleotides. The record is from Rfam. NCBI's taxonomy places the organism in Eukaryota, Viridiplantae, Streptophyta, Magnoliopsida, Poales, Poaceae.